GGGUCAGUAGGUUGGUCGUGCCACCGGUACGUACUGGUCUCACUGAUUCCUCCUUCCUGAAGAACCGUAAUGCCAUUAAUGUGGUGUUGCGGGGAAACAGGACUGUUACUUUGAAAAUAUUAGAGUGUUUAAAGCAAGCUAACGCUUGAAUACAUUAGCAUGGAAUAAUGAAAUAGGACGAUCGAUCCUAUUUUGUUGGUUUCUAGGAUUGACGUA
This 216-nucleotide ribosomal RNA is filed under the name Glomeromycotina sp. RNAcentral's name for it is "partial small subunit ribosomal RNA". The stretch from base 40 to 216 matches the Rfam family "Eukaryotic small subunit ribosomal RNA", at positions 686 to 864 of the family's 1831-position model. The record is from RNAcentral. Lineage: Eukaryota; Fungi; Glomeromycota.